ACUCAAAGGAAUAGACGGGGGCCCGCACAAGCGGUGGAGCAUGUGGUUUAAUUCGAUGCAACGCGCAGAACCUUACCUACCCUUGAAUCCACGGAAGCUUCUAGAGAUAGAGGCGUGCCUUCGGGAACCGUGAGACAGGUGCUGCAUGGCUGUCGUCAGCUCGUGUCGUGAGAUGUUGGGUUAAGUCCCGUAACGAGCGCAACCCCUAUCCUUAGUUACCAGCGAGUUAUGUCGGGGACUUUAAGGAGACUGACGGUGAUAAACCGUAGGAAGGUGGGGACGACGUCAAGUCAUCAUGGCCCUUAUGGGUAGGGCUACACACGUGCUACAAUGGCCAGUACAAAGGGUUGCCAACCCGCGAGGGGGAGCUAAUCUCAUAAAGCUGGUCGUAGUCCGGAUCGGAGUCUGCAACUCGACUCCGUGAAGUUGGAAUCGCUAGUAAUCGUGGAUCAGAACGUCACGGUGAAUACGUUCCCGGGCCUUGUACACACCGCCCGU
RNAcentral lists this ribosomal RNA (498 nucleotides) under uncultured bacterium. RNAcentral describes it as "partial 16S ribosomal RNA". It matches the Rfam family "Bacterial small subunit ribosomal RNA", at positions 899 to 1397 of the family's 1533-position model. The record is from RNAcentral.